Molecule: ribosomal RNA, 430 nt
Filed under: uncultured prokaryote
Also listed under: 1 other name
Description: bacterial SSU rRNA
Rfam family: Bacterial small subunit ribosomal RNA
Source: RNAcentral
UGAGGAAUCUUCCGCAAUGGGCGAAAGCCUGACGGAGCAACGCCGCGUGAAUGAAGAAGGCCUUCGGGUCGUAAAGUUCUGUCUUUAGGGAAGAAGGCCCAUAAUGCGAAUAGUGUUGUGGGGUGACGGUACCUGAGGAGGAAGCUCCGGCUAACUACGUGCCAGCAGCCGCGGUAAUACGUAGGGAGCGAGCGUUGUCCGGAAUUACUGGGCGUAAAGGGCGCGUAGGCGGGUAUUUAAGUCAGAUGUGAAAGCUCCGGGCUUAACUUGGAGAGUGCAUUUGAAACUGGAUAUCUUGAGGGCAGGAGAGGAAAGUGGAAUUCCUAGUGUAGCGGUGGAAUGCGUAGAUAUUAGGAGGAACACCAGUGGCGAAGGCGACUUUCUGGACUGUACCUGACGCUGAGGCGCGAAAGCAUGGGGAGCAAACGGG